GGAUUGUGGCUCAGUGGUAGAGCACUCUCCUAGCACGUGCGGGACCGGGUUCGAUUCUCAGCACCA
Molecule: transfer RNA, 66 nt
Filed under: Marmota monax (woodchuck)
Lineage: Eukaryota; Metazoa; Chordata; Mammalia; Rodentia; Sciuridae
Description: tRNA.Ala
Source: RNAcentral